GUGUCAGCCGCCGCGGUAAGACGGAGGGCGCAAGCGUUGUUCGGAAUUACUGGGCGUAAAGCGCGGGCAGGUGGUCCUUUAAGUCCUUUGUGAAAUCCCGGGGCUCAACUCCGGAUGUGCAGAGGAUACUGGAGGACUAGAGACCGGUAGAGGCGAGUGGAAUUCCUGGUGUAGCGGUGGAAUGCGUAGAUAUCAGGAAGAACACCUGUGGCGAAGGCGGCUCGCUGGGCCGGUUCUGACACUCAUCCGCGAAAGCGUGGGGAGCAAACAGGAUUAGAAACCCGCGUAGUCC
This 292-nucleotide ribosomal RNA is filed under the name uncultured bacterium. Its description in RNAcentral is "partial 16S ribosomal RNA". It matches the Rfam family "Bacterial small subunit ribosomal RNA", at positions 505 to 796 of the family's 1533-position model. The record is from RNAcentral.